UACAGAGGGUGCAAGCGUUGUUCGGAAUUAUUGGGCGUAAAGGGUAGGUAGGUGGUCUCAUUUGUCUGGGGUGAAAGCCUUGAGCUUAACUCAAGAAGUGCCCCAGAAACGGUGAGACUAGAGUCCUGGAGAGGGUCGUGGAAUUCCCGGUGUAGCGGUGAAAUGCGUAGAGAUCGGGAGGAACACCAGAGGCGAAGGCGGCGACCUGGACAGGCACUGACACUCAACUACGAAAGCGUGGGGAGCAAACAGG
RNAcentral lists this ribosomal RNA (253 nucleotides) under uncultured bacterium. RNAcentral describes it as "partial 16S ribosomal RNA". It matches the Rfam family "Bacterial small subunit ribosomal RNA", at positions 524 to 776 of the family's 1533-position model. The record is from RNAcentral.